Molecule: long non-coding RNA, 1170 nt
Filed under: Canis lupus familiaris (dog)
Lineage: Eukaryota; Metazoa; Chordata; Mammalia; Carnivora; Canidae
Description: lncRNA (ENSCAFG00845000318.1)
Source: RNAcentral
AUGGGCUUUUUUUUUUUUUUUUUCUUUUUUUUUUUUUUUUUUUUUCCUUCCCUCCCCCCCCCCCCCCCCCCCCCCCCCGCCGCCGCCGUCUCCGGGCUUCUCGGUCGCUGCGCCCCCCCCCCUCCCCGGGGCAGCCCCCGGGGCGCAGGGCGGAGCGGCAGCCAGGGCGCCCGCAGCGCUCCCCUCCCCUCCCCUCCCCCUCCCCGCGGGGCAGCUCGGAGCGGGGGCGCCCCUCCCCCCCUCCCCCCUCCCCUCCCGCACCCCGCGCGGGGCCGCGCCCGCAGCCCGGGCCUCACCUCUGCGGGCGGCGAGGUGCCGGGGGCGGCGCCGGGCGCGCGGGGCGGGGGCGGGGCGGGGCGCGCGGGGCGGGGGCGGGGCGGGGCGGGGCGGGGCGGGGCGGGGCGGGGGCGGGCGCUCGGCCGCCCAUAUAAGGCGCGCGGCGGCCGAACUUGGGACUGGGCUGCUGGGCUCGCGGCGCGCGGACGGCGGAGGCCCGCGGCGGCGGGUGAUGGGAGCGCCGCGGCUCCCGGGCGCAGGCGGCGGCGGCCGAGCUCGGCGGGCGCGGCGGGAGCGCUGAAGACAAGGCUGCGCGGGCGCCCGAGACCCAGCCUCCCGCAGCCGGGGCCGCUGCGCCCGCCCUAUUGUUCCGGCGCUGCCCGGAGCUCGGGGUCGCUCCCCGCGGAGGAGGCGCGCGGAGGCGCCGAGGCAGGUGCAGCCCCGGGAGCCGCGCGGCGCCGCGACGUCGGCGGGAAGGCGGCCGCGGGGCGCGGGGCCCGGAGCCUCGGAAAAGUUCCUGCGCUUCGGGGAGCGGCGCGCGCCGGGCGGCGUCGCGGGGCGGCCGAGGGGCUGCGGCCGCCUCUGCCAUCAGGUGUCUGCGGCGGAGCUGCGGCGCCCCCGGGACACGCGAGGGGCCGACACGCGCGCGCGCAGCGGACCGCGCCGUCCUCGGAGCGGCGGAGCCCCCCCGCCCGCCGCCGCCGCCGCCGCCACCACCACCACCUGGACGCCCGCCGGGACUGCGCGGCGGCACCCGCGCCCGCACCCGCACCCGCACGCGGACGCCCGCCCCCGGCCCGCGCACCCAGCCGCCGGGGGACCCCGCGCUCCCCGGGUCGGGGUGCCGCCUGGCGGGCGCUGCGGCCCCGCUGCCCUUUUGUCUCGUCGGCGUGA